GGAUGAGCCCGCGGCCUAUCAGCUUGUUGGUGGGGUAACGGCCUACCAAGGCGACGACGGGUAGCUGGUCUGAGAGGACGACCAGCCACACUGGGACUGAGACACGGCCCAGACUCCUACGGGAGGCAGCAGUGGGGAAUCUUGCGCAAUGGGCGGAAGCCUGACGCAGCGACACCGCGUGGGGGACGAAGGCCUUUCAGGUCGUAAACCCCUUUCGGCAGGGACGAAGCGAUCUCGUGACGGUACCUGCAGAAGAAGCCUCGGCUAACUACGUGCCAGCAGCCGCGGUAACACGUAGGAGGCGAGCGUUGUCCGGAAUCAUUGGGCGUAAAGAGCGCGCAGGCGGCUUGGCAAGUCGGGUGUGAAAACUCGGGGCUUAACUCCGAGCCUGCUUCCGAUACGGGCUGACUAGAGGUAUGCAGGGGAGAACGGAAUUCCUGGUGUAGCGGUGGAAUGCGCAGAUAUCAGGAGGAACACCGGUGGCGAAGGCGGUUCUCUGGGCAUUACCUGACGCUGAGGAGCGAAAGCAUGGGGAGCGAACAGGAUUAGAUACCCUGGUAGUCCACCCCGUAAACGUUGGGAACUAGUUGUGGGGUCCAUUCCACGGAUUCCGUGACGCAGCUAACGCAUUAAGUUCCCCGCCUGGGGAGUACGGCCGCAAGGCUAAAACUCAAAGGAAUUGACGGGGACCCGCACAAGCGGCGGAGCAUGCGGAUUAAUUCGAUGCAACGCGAAGAACCUUAC
This 744-nucleotide ribosomal RNA is filed under the name uncultured Actinobacteridae bacterium. RNAcentral describes it as "bacterial SSU rRNA". It matches the Rfam family "Bacterial small subunit ribosomal RNA", at positions 223 to 974 of the family's 1533-position model. The record is from RNAcentral. Lineage: Bacteria; Bacillati; Actinomycetota; Actinomycetes.